RNAcentral lists this long non-coding RNA (231 nucleotides) under Lathyrus oleraceus (garden pea). Its description in RNAcentral is "Pisum sativum (pea) long non-coding RNA (PSAT_LNC011517)". Lineage: Eukaryota; Viridiplantae; Streptophyta; Magnoliopsida; Fabales; Fabaceae. The record is from RNAcentral.
GGGUUUUUCAAAAAAAAAUUAUGGAUUGGGAACACUAAACAACAUACUAAAAAUUAAAGGAAACGGCAAGGAAAACCAAAGGGUAAGUGGUCUUUAAUUAUGUUUUAAAUGCUAUUUCCUAAAAACAAAUAAAAGAAAAUUGAAACAGAGACACGUGAACACAAAUCGUUCGUCUUCUUCACGAAGACUCCCUCUAGUUCCCUCAACCUCUCGCGUCUUCAAUCAGUCUCU